Molecule: non-coding RNA, 437 nt
Organism: Ictidomys tridecemlineatus (thirteen-lined ground squirrel)
Lineage: Eukaryota; Metazoa; Chordata; Mammalia; Rodentia; Sciuridae
Source: RefSeq, a predicted model, not a curated record
CCAACAUCUCCAUAGCAGCCAGACAGUUGCUUAGAAACAGUAACUGACAGGACCCCCCAUCACUACUCCACCAAAUAUGCAAUUCUUUAAGGUGAGAAGCACAGGAGGAGUGUCUCCCGGGCUCUGCAUAGAGGUGUAGAAAGAAGAAACCUCAACUUCUUCCAAGUUCUGAUCCUGGCCUUUACAAGCUAGAAAGCAAAGCCUCGGUGGAUUUUAGCUAUUACUCAAGAUUUUCCACUUUUUAAAUGACACUUUGAUGAACAUUUAUCAACUGUAGAGACUCAUGGGGUUCAUUGCCAGAUUCCAAUAUAUGCCUUCAACGUGCACUGAUCAAAUCCAGCCUUCUGCAGUCCACCCUUCCCAACCUCUAGUCAUCAUGGUUCUCAGUCGGGUCCCAAGUUUUCUUUCCUCACAAAGAAUAAAUGAGUUAAUGCUAA